RNAcentral lists this ribosomal RNA (540 nucleotides) under uncultured eukaryote. RNAcentral describes it as "SSU rRNA". It matches the Rfam family "Eukaryotic small subunit ribosomal RNA", at positions 202 to 746 of the family's 1831-position model. The record is from RNAcentral.
UGUAUUUAUUAGAUAAAAAACCAAUGCCCUUCGGGGCUUUUUGGUGAUUCAUGAUAACUUUACGGAUCGCAUAGCCUUGCGCUGGCGACGGUUCAUUCAAAUUUCUGCCCCAUCAACUUUCGAUGGUAAGGUAUUGGCUUACCAUGGUUUCAACGGGUAACGGGGAAUUAGGGUUCGAUUCCGGAGAGGGAGCCUGAGAAACGGCUACCACAUCCAAGGAAGGCAGCAGGCGCGCAAAUUACCCAAUCCCGACACGGGGAGGUAGUGACAAUAAAUACUGAUACAGGGCUCUUUUGGGUCUUGUAAUUGGAAUGAGUACAAUUUAAACCUCUUAACGAGGAACAAUUGGAGGGCAAGUCUGGUGCCAGCAGCCGCGGUAAUUCCAGCUCCAAUAGCGUAUAUUAAAGUUGUUGCAGUUAAAAAGCUCGUAGUUGAAACUUGGGCCUGGCUGGCGGGUCCGCCUCACCGCGUGCACUCGUCCGGCCGGGCCUUCCUUCUGAAGAACCUCAUGCCCUUCACUGGGCGUGCUGGGGAACCAGG